CCAGAACCACUUCUCCACCCUCUAACUCUAGGUCAGGACCAGAACUACUUCUCCACCGUCUAACUGUAGGUCAGGACCAGAACCACUUCUCCACCCUCUAACUCUAGGUCAGGACCAGAACCACUUCUCCACCCUCUAACUCUAGGUCAGGACCAGAACCACUUCUCCACCGUCUAACUCUAGGUCAGGACCAGUAAUACUCUACCAUCUAACUGUAGGUCAGGACCAGAACUACUUCUCCACCCUCUAACUCUAGGUCAGGACCAGAACCACUUCUCCACCCUCUAACUCUAGGUCAGGACCAGAACCACUUCUCCACCGUCUAACUCUAGGUCAGGACCAGAACCACUUCUCCACCCUCUAACUCUAGGUCAGGACCAGAACCACUUCUCCACCGUCUAACUCUAGGUCAGGACCAGAACCACUUCUCCACCGUCUAACUCUAGGUCAGGACCAGAACCACUUCUCCACCGUCUAACUCUAGGUCAGGACCAGAACCACUUCUCCACCGUCUAACUCUAGGUCAGGACCAGAACCACUUCUCCACCCUCUAAUGCUAGGUCAGAACCAGAACCACUUCUCCACCGUCUAACUCUAGGUCAGGACCAGAACCACUUCUCCACCCUCUAAUGCUAGGUCAGGACCAGAACCACUUCUCCACCGUCUAACUCUAGGUCAGAACCAGAACCACUUCUCCACCGUGUAACUCUAAGCAUUUAGGUGCUGGUGUUAAGAGUCAGAUAUACCCCAGUUCAAAUAUGUCUCUGAUUCUAGAUGAGCAACCUCAGGCAAAUUUAUCACUAAGUCUUCUCAGUCCCAGGUUUCUCAUCUGUAAGAUGUAAGAUUAGCCAACAGGUAUAAAGUUCUUGGCAAACCUUAAAGCUCCCUACAUAGGCUUUUGUUGUUGCGCAAUCAUUUUCAGUCCUAUCUGACUCAGAGACCCCUGUGAGAUUUUGUUGGCAAAGACACUGAAGGGAUUUGACAUUUCCUUCUCCAGCUCGUUUGUAGAGAUGAGGAAACUGAGGCAGACUUAAGUGUCAGAGGUCAGAUUUGAACUGCCUCCAGGCCCAGCCCUCCCUAUGUGCUAGCUAGGAUUACCCACUCUCCCUGGGGCGUGCGACCCCCUUGCUCUAGACUCAGAAGAUGAGCUGAUCCUUCCAAGGCCCAGAAGAAAGAGUGGGA
Antechinus flavipes (yellow-footed antechinus) is the source of this 1182-nucleotide long non-coding RNA. RefSeq lists it as uncharacterized. The transcript is spliced from 5 exons. Lineage: Eukaryota; Metazoa; Chordata; Mammalia; Dasyuromorphia; Dasyuridae. The record is from RefSeq and is a predicted model, not a curated record.